GUGAGGAAUAUUGGUCAAUGGGCGCAAGCCUGAACCAGCCAUGCCGCGUGCAGGAAGACGGUCCUAUGGAUUGUAAACUGCUUUUAUUUGGGAAUAAACUCCGGUACGUGUACCGGCCUGAAGGUACCAAAUGAAUAAGCACCGGCUAACUCCGUGCCAGCAGCCGCGGUAAUACGGAGGGUGCAAGCGUUAUCCGGAAUCAUUGGGUUUAAAGGGUCCGCAGGCGGUCUUAUAAGUCAGUGGUGAAAGCCUACAGCUCAACUGUAGAACUGCCAUUGAUACUGUAGGACUUGAAUUCGAUCGAAGUGGGCGGAAUGUGACAUGUAGCGGUGAAAUGCUUAGAUAUGUCACAGAACACCGAUAGCGAAGGCAGCUCACUAGGUCUGGAUUGACGCUCAGGGACGAAAGCGUGGGGAGCAAACAGGAUUAGAAACCGAGUAGUCC
RNAcentral lists this ribosomal RNA (444 nucleotides) under uncultured bacterium. RNAcentral's name for it is "partial 16S ribosomal RNA". It matches the Rfam family "Bacterial small subunit ribosomal RNA", at positions 354 to 796 of the family's 1533-position model. The record is from RNAcentral.